GACGAACGCUGGCGGCGUGCUUAACACAUGCAAGUCGAACGGAAAGGCCCUGCUUUUGUGGGGUGCUCGAGUGGCGAACGGGUGAGUAACACGUGAGUAACCUGCCCUUGACUUUGGGAUAACUUCAGGAAACUGGGGCUAAUACCGGAUAGGAGCUCCUGCUGCAUGGUGGGGGUUGGAAAGUUUCGGCGGUUGGGGAUGGACUCGCGGCUUAGCAGCUUGUUGGUGGGGUAGUGGCUUCCAAGGCUUUGACGGGUAGCCGGCCUGAGAGGGUGACCGGGCACAUUGGGACUGAGAUACGGCCCAGAAUCCUACGGGAGGCAGCAGUGGGGAAUAUUGCACAAUGGGCGGAAGCCUGAUGCAGCAACGCCGCGUGCGGGAUGACGGCCUUCGGGUUGUAAACCGCUUUCGCCUGUGACGAAGCGUGAGUGACGGUAAUGGGUAAAGAAGCACCGGCUAACUACGUG
This 467-nucleotide ribosomal RNA is filed under the name uncultured bacterium. RNAcentral's name for it is "partial 16S ribosomal RNA". It matches the Rfam family "Bacterial small subunit ribosomal RNA", at positions 28 to 507 of the family's 1533-position model. The record is from RNAcentral.